RNAcentral lists this ribosomal RNA (446 nucleotides) under uncultured bacterium. Its description in RNAcentral is "partial 16S ribosomal RNA". It matches the Rfam family "Bacterial small subunit ribosomal RNA", at positions 338 to 795 of the family's 1533-position model. The record is from RNAcentral.
CCUACGGGCGGCAGCAGUCGAGAAUCAUUCACAAUGGGGGAAACCCUGAUGGUGCGACGCCGCGUGGGGGAAUGAAGGUCUUCGGAUUGUAAACCCCUGUCAUGUGGGGGCAAAUUAAAAAGAUAGUACCACAAGAGGAAGAGACGGCUAACUCUGUGCCAGCAGCCGCGGUAAUACAGAGGUCUCAAGCGUUGUUCGGAAUCACUGGGCGUAAGGCGUGCGUAGGCUGUUUCGUAAGUCGUGUGUGAAAGGCGCGGGCUCAACCCGCGGACGGCACAUGAUACUGCGAGACUAGAGUAAUGGAGGGGGAACCGGAAUUCUCGGUGUAGCAGUGAAAUGCGUAGAUAUCGAGAGGAACACUCGUGGCGAAGGCGGGUUCCUGGACAUUAACUGACGCUGAGGCACGAAGGCCAGGGGAGCGAAAGGGAUUAGAUACCCCAGUAGUC